This 77-nucleotide transfer RNA is filed under the name mine drainage metagenome. RNAcentral's name for it is "tRNA-Trp". The record is from RNAcentral.
GCGGCAGCUUGGCCAGGGGGCGCAGGCGGUUCCAGGCCGCCUCGUCGCCGCCCUUGAACAUCUCGGGGGCGGUGGCG